GUUAAGAUGUGUCCUGAUCUCCUAAACCCACAGAACCUCAAAGUCUCAAGAUCAUGUUUCUUCUUUGGGAAAUUAGAAGGCUCCUCAUAAAGGGUGAAGUACUUUGCCAGAAUUAUGAGGAUGAAAAAGAGCACCUACUUUCAAGGAGCCCUCAUUCUAGAAAAGAAAGCAGACAUAUGCACAAAAUCCCGUAACUCCAGGAAGAUUGGAGAGGCUCUGAAUGUUAUCGCUACAUCUCGUAGUGACCUAGACAUAGCCCUGGUCCACGAAGUCUUCAGACUGAGGUGUGUCACCCCAUGGGUCGAGCUACGCUUCCCUGUUCCUUUUUGAUAUUACCCCUUUGCCCUGUUUGGGAUAGAAUGUUCCAUGGAGAUGCCCUUUGUGUGUCCCCUUCUCUUGCUCUGCCUUUGGGUGUGGCCUUCCUGG
Ictidomys tridecemlineatus (thirteen-lined ground squirrel) is the source of this 426-nucleotide non-coding RNA. NCBI's taxonomy places the organism in Eukaryota, Metazoa, Chordata, Mammalia, Rodentia, Sciuridae. The record is from RefSeq and is a predicted model, not a curated record.